Molecule: small nuclear RNA, 159 nt
Organism: Heterocephalus glaber (naked mole-rat)
Lineage: Eukaryota; Metazoa; Chordata; Mammalia; Rodentia; Bathyergidae
Gene: U2
Rfam family: U2 spliceosomal RNA
About the family: U2 is a small nuclear RNA (snRNA) component of the spliceosome (involved in pre-mRNA splicing). Complementary binding between U2 snRNA (in an area lying towards the 5' end but 3' to hairpin I) and the branchpoint sequence (BPS) of the intron results the bulging out of an unpaired adenosine, on the BPS, which initiates a nucleophilic attack at the intronic 5' splice site, thus starting the first of two transesterification reactions that mediate splicing.
Source: Ensembl
AUCACUUCUUGGCCUUUUGGCUAAGAUCAAGUGUAGUAAAAUAUGCUCAGUUUUUGAUUAUUUUUCUGAUGAGCACCUUUCUUUAAAAUCUGGUUUUCUAGCAUAUAUCAGCCUCAAUGUUAUUAUUUUUGUGCUUUGAAGUGUUAACCUUGAGGCUGC